Molecule: ribosomal RNA, 269 nt
Filed under: uncultured prokaryote
Description: partial 16S ribosomal RNA
Rfam family: Bacterial small subunit ribosomal RNA
Source: RNAcentral
UACGGGGGGAGCAAGCGUUAUUCGGAUUUAUUGGGCGUAAAGGGUUCGUAGGCGGUCAGGUUAGUCAGGGGUGAAAUCUAACGGCUUAACCGUUAAAUUGCCCUUGAAACUGCCUGACUUGAGUACGGGAUAGGAAAGCGGAAUUCUCGGUGUAGCGGUGAAAUGCGUGGAUAUCGAGAGGAACACCAGUGGCGAAAGCGGCUUUCUGGCCCGAUACUGACGCUGAUGAACGAAAGCCAGGGGAGCAAACGGGAUUAGAUACCCCCGUA